ACCACUCACCGCCACCACCAGUGCACUCUCCUCCACCUCCUUACCAUUACAUUUCACCACCGCCGCCACCAAAGAAGCCGUACAAAUACCAUUCUCCUCCUCCACCAGUUUACAAGUACAAGUCUCCACCACCACCCUAUAAAUACCCUUCUCCACCACCACCACCAAAAAAACCUUACAAAUAUCUCUCUCCUCCACCACCAGUUUACAAAUCUCCUCCUCCUCCUUAUAAGUACCCUUCUCCUCCACCUCCACCGUAUAAAUAUCCAUCUCCACCACCACCAGUUUAUAAGUACAAAUCACCUCCUCCACCAGUGUAUAAAUACAAAUCUCCUCCACCUCCACCUAAAAAGCCAUAUAAGUAUCCAUCUCCACCUCCCCCUGUUUAUAAAUACAAAUCUCCACCACCACCAGUUUACAAGUACAAAUCACCUCCUCCACCAGUGUAUAAGUACAAAUCUCCUCCACCUCCACCUAAAAAGCCAUAUAAGUAUCCAUCUCCACCUCCCCCCGUUUACAAAUACAAAUCUCCACCACCACCGGUGUACAAAUCUCCACCUCCUCCCGUUUACAAAUACAAGUCACCACCACCCCCAGUGUACAAAUACAAAUCUCCACCUCCCCCCGUUUACAAAUACAAGUCACCACCACCCCCAGUGUACAAGUACAAAUCUCCACCACCACCAGUGUAUAAAUCUCCACCACCACCCUACAAGCAUAUAUCUCCACCACCAACGCCCAAGAAACCAUACAAGUACCCAUCACCACCACCACCAGUUUAUAAAUACAAAUCUCCACCACCACCAUACAAGUACCCAUCCCCACCACCACCUCCGUACAAAUAUCCAUCACCACCACCACCAGUCUACAAAUAUAAGUCUCCCCCACCACCGUACAAGUACCCAUCACCUCCACCGCCACCAUACAAAUAUCCAUCACCACCACCUCCAGUUUACAAGUAUAAGUCCCCUCCUCCACCUGUUUAUUCACCACCUCCACCACAUUAUGUUUAUGCUUCACCUCCUCCUCCGGUCUAUUCCCCUCCUCCACCGCAUUACAUCUAUGCAUCACCUCCUCCUCCUUACCAUUAAUAGAGAGUGGUUUACCAUAUCAUCCAUGGUAUGCUUCUUCGUACGUACAACCUACAUAAAACAAUUCAUAAUAAAACGUAUUAAUCUUUAAAAAAGAUAAUUAUUUAUACAUACAUCAACAUACUAGAGUUGUUUAAUAUGGUUAUCAUCUAAAUUGAACUUCAUUAUUUUUAACAAAUUAUAAUAAAUAUUGUAUUUGCUUUUCAUUUUUUCUUAUUAUAAAAUUUAUUUUUUAUUAAAAAAAUUAAAAAUUCAUCUUUAAAUUAUAUUUUUAGAAGUUUAUAUUAGACAUGUUCCAAGAUAUUAUAUAUUUUAUCAAUGAAAUAAUUAAAUAAGAGAAAAAAAUAAGUUAAGUUAUUUGAAUACUUUUGCAUGCCGGCACAUGUAAGUCAUUAUCUUAAUAAGCCUCACUUUUAACUCAUUCCUAUAAUCUAAAUUGUACAUAAAAUUAAAAAAGUAUAUAUUAUUAGUGUAAAAUUGUUUUACACCAACAUCAAAUAACAAUUUAUUAUUUUGUUAUAUUAUAUCAUAUUUUUAUAUUUAUUUUGAAAUUGAUUAUAUAAUAUGAAAAUAUAAUGAAUUUUCAUUAAAUGUCAAUAUAAAAUUAGUUUUUACUAACAAUAUAUGGCCACUACACUCAUUGUACAUAACCGUGAUUCCCAAUCAAUCAUAUAUAGUUUAUAUGCAAGUAGCUUUUUUUUUUUUUUUUUAUUCAAACAAGUUUUCAUAUUGAGUCAAAAACAAAGUUUUUAUAUUAAUGUACAAAUUAAGGUAUAUACAUAUAUAUGCUUGUCUGUUGAUACAGUAUAUGGUAUUUUUAAUAUUAGACCUUUUAAAAAAUGGAUUUAAAUGUGGACUCUUCCCAAACACUUGUUAAUGUUUCCCUUAUUUUUAUUGAAAACCGAUGAAACAUCAUAAAUGUGUUGUAGUAGGUGAGAUCAUAAAGUCAUUAAACUAGGACUAUCCAACAUGCCUUACAUUUCAUUAUAAUUUCCUUUUAAAGAAUAUAUUUUAAGGCAUGGUCGUAUUGUCCGAUUUUGGUUUGCUUUUCGAGAUAUUUAUCAUUAAAAAAAACGUUUUAUUAAAAUUAAUCUAAGAUUUUUACCUUUAUUUUUUUAUUUAUUAUUGAACUAAAAAAGAAAUACAAUUCAAAAUCAAAGUUUAUAGUUAUGCUUAUUCAGUUCGUUUGAUACAGGUUGAAAUAAAAAGUAAUGAAAUUCUUAAAUAAAUAAAAAAAAGUAAUGAAAUUUUACUAUCAUUAAAAUAAAUAAAAAAAAACUCAAGUUGUUUGAUUCUUAUUUUCCAACAUUUGAUAAACCUAAUAAAAAAUUUAGUUAGAUUAUAUAAUGUUUAGGGAACUUCUACUGUACAUUCACAAAUUAAAAGGUUUUAUGACAUUUGUUAUCUAAACCAAUAAAUUAAUGACAAUUUUCGUGAAUCAAUGAGUUAUUUGUUGACUUUUGUAUUUUAAGAAAGAUCAUUCAUAAGAAAAAAUAUUUCAUUGUUUAUAAGUAUUAUACUAAUUUUUUAUAUUGUAUUGUAAAUAAUAUUCAAUGUGUACUGUUAUGAGUAAUAUAAAUUCAAAAAAAUAAGAAUUUUAUUUCACUCACAUUUUUGGUAAAGAAUUUUUAAUUAUUAUAUUUUUUAAAUGAUAGAAAUAAUUUUUUUCAAAAAAAAAAAAAAAAACUCGUUUAACUGUUAAUUUAAAGAUCAAAUAUUUUAAUAUAUGUCGAAUUGACUUAUGUAGAGUAAAAUUUCACUUACAUCUAAGGUUAAAUAUUUCUCAUCUGCAUUGUUGAAUCGACUUAUUAGUGAAAGAGAUUUAUUUAUAUAUUUAUGUGUGUAUACUUUUGUAGGAUUUGAGGAAUAUAUCGAAAAUAAAGCGAAGAUAGUGCACAUAAGGAAUAUGCAUUGUGCAAUUAUACAAAGGAAAAAUAGUGGAAGCAAAGUUUCUGAAGAUGUAUCGCACAAUUAUUAAUUUGUCUCAUAAAAAGAAAAAAGUGUCACUCUUUUUCUCUUCGUGUGUUUUAUUUAGGAAUAAAUUAUAUUCUCAUUAUUGUAUGAAUUUUGAAUUUAAGAUGUUGUAAAGCACUUUGUGUCAUACCGUAUGUCAUUUAAUCAUAUAUGUGAAUGCAUUUUGUUUUAAUUGCAACUUAAUCGUUUGCAAAGGGUUGCGAAGCCAAAUCAAUGUUAAAUAAAAAUUGAAUAUAUCUCCUUCUAAGUCAUGGUACUUUGAAUAACAAAUUCUCCUAAAAAACUAACAA
This 3355-nucleotide long non-coding RNA is filed under the name Cicer arietinum (chickpea). Its description in RNAcentral is "long non-coding RNA (CARI_LNC003190)". The record is from RNAcentral. Lineage: Eukaryota; Viridiplantae; Streptophyta; Magnoliopsida; Fabales; Fabaceae.